Long non-coding RNA from Oreochromis aureus, 1404 nucleotides. The record is from Ensembl. Lineage: Eukaryota; Metazoa; Chordata; Actinopteri; Cichliformes; Cichlidae.
AUAUGUUUCACUUUUGAGGUCACAUUUUUAUAAGCAUUUUUGGUUUGUUCCAGAAUUUUCAGGAACCUGUUCAGUGUUCCAGGUUAAGUGCAUCCCCAGAUCAUGUUCUGCUGAUCUUGAGUGUUCACACAUACAGUACACUCACAUGCUUUUUUUUUAUAAACUAUAUCAGCAUGAUGCUUCAACAUUUUAUUCUAUUUCUCAUCUUCACAUUCUGAUCAAGUCAGUGAUGCUGUCUUUAGAUGAGUUUCUGACAUAAAUAGGGUCUUCAAAUGUUCUAGUUUAACAUAAAACACCAUUAAAUAUUAGUUUAUAAAAUAUGCCAACCUGAAAUUAAAGCUGAAAAUGCUUAAUUUUGACCAACUGUGAGCAUGUGACUGUACUUUUUCAUUUUGUUAUGCUGUUUUGUUGAGGUCGUGUUCCUAAGGCCUGUAGUUACAGUUGGUGCUAUUAGCAAUAAACAUUUCACACCCAUCAUGAUGAUGUCUGUUAACUUGUGAAUGUAACUGUCUUGAAAAAAAGGAAUCUUGCAGUGAAGCUCAUUCCCGGGCAGUGGUCAGAAAAAAAGAGCUUUGACUUGAAGGGUUUUCCAAGCCAAGACUAUGGAGUUGACUGUGGGGUCUUCAUGCUGAUGUCUGCUCUGUACGUGGCACUGGAUGCACCAUUUGACAAUACUAUAUCAGACAUGCCCUACUUGCGUAAAUGGUGGUCCUUGCUGUUGAUGGAGAACUUUGAUCUCAGAAGCUCUGGCAAGCUAUUUGCACACUGGAGAGAGGAAGCCAAAGCUGUGCUUGAAGGACAACACGUGCCCAUUUUCAGACUGAAAAAGCGCAAGUUCCAGGAAGUCAGUCAGGAGCCAGCAGUUGUUGAAGAUCUGCGUCCUGCUGUGCAGUGGGUUGUCCAAAAUAAGGCACUUUUCCGUGGACACGUAACAAUGCCAAAAUAUCUGUCCUUAAAUCAAGGGGACCAGCAGAGGGUCUUAAGAGACAUGUCAGAGGAAGAAGACACUGGAGCAAGGGACUUGUUCCUCUUUGUUUUUCAGUUUGCAGAGGACAUGGAGCUCUUUUUGAAAGCAUGUGCUGAUGAGCAGGGACUAAGGGUCAGUGCUAUGUUUGACAUGUAAUGGACAAAUAAAGGCACUGGCUGUUUGUUAUAUUUGUUUCUUUGUUUAAUAUGUCGUUGUUGUUGUUUUUUUUUGUUUUUGCAUAGUACAAAAUUCCAAAUAAACUUAUUUCAAAAUGUUGUUCACUUGAUUCUAUGUCCAUACUUUUAAUAAAGGAUUACAGUGUAACAGCAUUAAAUGUAAAUGUAACAGCAUAAGCACUCUGGGCUCUAUCCUGGCCAUUUGUGGCCACUUCACUUAUUCUUUUUUUUGACUGCUGCACUGCAGUGGACCAAAAGAAU